Molecule: ribosomal RNA, 465 nt
Filed under: Vreelandella stevensii
Lineage: Bacteria; Pseudomonadati; Pseudomonadota; Gammaproteobacteria; Oceanospirillales; Halomonadaceae
Description: partial 16S ribosomal RNA
Rfam family: Bacterial small subunit ribosomal RNA
Source: RNAcentral
CCUACGGGCGGCAGCAGUGGGGAAUAUUGGACAAUGGGCGAAAGCCUGAUCCAGCCAUGCCGCGUGUGUGAAGAAGGCCUUCGGGUUGUAAAGCACUUUCAGUGGGGAAGAAAGCCUUGGGUCUAAUACCCUCGAGGAAGGACAUCACCCACAGAAGAAGCACCGGCUAACUCCGUGCCAGCAGCCGCGGUAAUACGGAGGGUGCGAGCGUUAAUCGGAAUUACUGGGCGUAAAGCGCGCGUAGGCGGUCUGAUAAGCCGGUUGUGAAAGCCCCGGGCUCAACCUGGGAACGGCAUCCGGAACUGUCAGGCUAGAGUGCAGGAGAGGAAGGUAGAAUUCCCGGUGUAGCGGUGAAAUGCGUAGAGAUCGGGAGGAAUACCAGUGGCGAAGGCGGCCUUCUGGACUGACACUGACGCUGAGGUGCGAAAGCGUGGGUAGCAAACAGGAUUAGAUACCCCAGUAGUC